ACGUGGUAUAGUGGUUUUUUCAUUUGAUUCUAUAACAGUUUAAAAAAAUUAAUUUGCGUAAUUGUUACCUAGCUGGUUGCCGAAUCCUAGGCAGUGAAUUCGCUUUAGUUGGCGUAACAUUACAACUGUCAAUGCGUUGCAGUCAGUGCAGAAGGUUGUAUAACAGUAAUUAAACAGUAAGUUUUUUCUUUAACAAAAUGUUUUAAACAGUAGAUUUUUAUAUAUUUUUUUAUAUUGCAGUAGUAAACAUGCUGCCAGAACGGAGACUAUGGAGAAGAAAGUUACACAGCGGCGACAAGAUAAAUUAUUUUUGAUGCUAUAUUCACAUGAAUGUGUGUGAUAGCUCAGCGAUUCAGCACAAAAUUUGUUAUUUUGUCCUCUUUUAACUGAUCAAGAGGGUAUAGCUCAGUGAUAUAGCAUUCUACUGCAGAUCGAGGUGUACUGAUUUCAAACCUGGGUGCCCCCUUGUGCUUACUAUUAAAGUAAUAAAUGACACUAAGUGAAUGAA
This is a long non-coding RNA of Daphnia magna, 508 nucleotides long. RefSeq lists it as uncharacterized. The record is from RefSeq and is a predicted model, not a curated record. Lineage: Eukaryota; Metazoa; Arthropoda; Branchiopoda; Diplostraca; Daphniidae. The transcript is spliced from 2 exons.